This 243-nucleotide long non-coding RNA is filed under the name Oryza brachyantha (malo sina). Its description in RNAcentral is "long non-coding RNA (OBRA_LNC001563)". The record is from RNAcentral. Lineage: Eukaryota; Viridiplantae; Streptophyta; Magnoliopsida; Poales; Poaceae.
CUCUUGGGCCUCCAGCCACAAAGCUCUCACCACUCACCGCCGCCAAGCACCGCCGCCGGCGACCGCCGCCUGCCUCUGCUCCGCCCCGUUCUUCCCCGCCGCCGUCAGUGGCCUCGCCGGGCAGCUGCCCCUGCGUUCUGAAACGACUGGCACGUUUCUGCUUUCCCAUGGUCCUCCAUGCAGGGGGCGAAGCAGCUGCACGCGCGCGCGCUCCGCCGCGGCGUGCGCCGCCUGCAGCCGCUG